This is an RNA transcript of Dermacentor andersoni, 2565 nucleotides long. RefSeq lists it as uncharacterized. NCBI's taxonomy places the organism in Eukaryota, Metazoa, Arthropoda, Arachnida, Ixodida, Ixodidae. The record is from RefSeq and is a predicted model, not a curated record.
AAGCCAAAGCCUAGAUUUGUAUUAUGUGUUCUUUUAUGUAGUUUCGGUAUUCAGGCAGUGUUCAGAGAGUUGUCGUUUUUUAUAAGUUGUGCGCCUUUGUCCAUCGAAGGCGUUGAUUGUCAAACCUGUUGAUAUAAUUAUAUAAAUAGGUCCAUAGCACGCAAUUUAUGUGUAUGCGUUUCUGUGCCGGUAGCGGUAGUAACGGUCCUUCAGUAGCGCGUCGCUGGCUCUAGUCAUGCGCAGCUUAUUCGCAUGAGCCGGCGAAAAUAUGUACCCGACAGCCCAUGUGGGACCUGGCGCCGAAGACAUGUCAGAAGACGAGGAAGCGUCCUUGGUGCAGGAACGUGACCGGACGCUGCGCACAGCCCUGGACCAGAUACAACAGCGACGGCGUGCACCUGCAAACCCUCCCAGUCCUCCUUCUGCUGUAGAUGCCAUUGAACACCAAUUUAAGGAGUGCCAUGGCAGCAGCGAUGCCGCAGUGGAUGGUGACAGCGCCGCUGCGGUGAAGCCAUCUCCACCACAGGGUCCUUUAGAGGCUUUACGACAGCGGGAGUGGCUGCUGAACCUACAGGAACAGCAGGAGCUCCAACGUCUCAAGGUUGCUUUAUCCUCACCUGUGCAGCAGGAACUCACCGAGGAAAAGGAGGAGCAAUUGCUGUUCAACGGUGAGGUGCCUCCCCUGUUGCCGGUGCACUCUACUGCAGCGGCCCUAUGUACCACCACAGCCUCUUCGACAUGUACUUCAUCGACCUCGACGCAUUCCACAACAUCAACUUGUUCUACCUCCUCAUCAUCGCAACAUUCCACAUGUACCACAACUUCUGCUACGUGCCCCUCGAACUCUGCGCGCUCGGGACCCAACAGGGGCUCGAUGGGGGGUAGGGGCAGGGGUGGCAAUCGUUCCAGGCCACCGUGCGUGCACCACAAUAGCCGGGGCAGGCCCUUCGCUCGCAGGGAGCAUCCUCAACAAGGUGGCCGUUGGGGUCACGAACACCGGCUGCAGAGCAGAGAGAACCUCAUGCAACAGAUGCCCAAUGAAAGAGGACCUACCAACAGCCCAAAGAAGACCAUGGAGCCACCAGUCUGGCAGCAGGGGGUUAUGCCCCUGUCAGUGCAGGAUGAGGCCUCCAUGCUAGCACAGGCGAUUGAGCUAAGCCGCCUGGAUGAGGGUGCUGCUAGCAGCAUCGAAGAAGAGCAGCUGCGUAUGGUCCUAGAGCAGUCUCGGCAAGAAGCGCGAGGAAGAGGAGGAGGUGGCAGCAACCGGCGAGGUGCAUCACGGUUUCCCCGCCGAGGUUGGGGGGCCCCUGGUAGGGGAGGAGGUGCUGAGCGCCACCCGCAAAUGGAGGCCUCACUGCCACCAGUGCCCCCAAACCUCCUUAACCGCAUCACCAUUGUGGGCAGCAUAGAUGCCGGCCGCCUCACUUCAGGGACCAUGCCACCGCCGCUGCCCUUAGUUCAUCCUCCACCUGCUCCGCCUCCGUCGCCCAAUGCGGAACCCACCGUGACAUUCGACCAGUGGCUGUCACUAUGCAGCCGCUACAUGCCCCUGCUGGCCCAGGGCAUGGUGGAGCUUCAACGCACGUGUGCCGCGGUUCGUUCGGCUGCUCCAUCCCUUGACGGGGCGCCCCUUUUGCUGCCGCCACCCCCACUUUGGUCAUCACGAUUUCCUCCGGGAGGUGCACAGUCACCCCUGUCACCCAUGGCCCCUCCCAUGACCUCGCCCAUGAAUUCCAUAACCUCACCCAUGGCCCCACCUCCCAUGGGCCCUUCUCACAUGGCCCCAGCUGAUGGGGGCAUUUUUAAUGCUGCACCUUCGGCCUUCCAGUGCAUUCCUCAGCCAGCGCGGCCACCGAGGCCGGUUCGCGGUGUCGGUCACAAUGCUGGCUUGCACCAGAAAAAUGUACAGCAGCAUCACCAGCAGAUGCCAGCCGCACAUGUUGGCAAGAGGCAGCACCUCAACGAGCAGGUCCACAGUGGGGGACAGAGUUCGGGCGAUGUGGGUCAUCGCCUACACCAGAAAAACAUGCAGCAACAUCCACAUCAACCUUCAGCAGCUGCUAAUGCUAGCAGAAAGCAGCAGCCCACUGAACAGGUCCACAGUGGUGGGCAAGGUUCUGACGACACUGGGCAUCGCCAGCUUCAGAAACCUGCACAGCAACAGCCCUUGGCAGCUAGCAUAGGCAGUAAACAGCAUACCUCUGAACAACCACAUGCCCUCUGCCGAGGCGGGGCUCGUGCAAAGAAGAAGAGGAAAGGAGGCAAGCCAACUUCCUCUUAACUUCCAUUUGUGAGAUGCAAUAAUAACAAGGAAACGGUGCCCAUGGGCAUGAGGUCAGCUUUGUAAAGGCCGUUAAAAAGCUUUCAAAAGAAACUCUACCGUAAUGUCCUGAUGAAACCCUGGGAGGCCAGGAGGUUCUGGCUCCUGGACAGGUGUGGUGUCUGCACAAGCUUCUUCAGUGCAGCGACUGAGCCACGCUGCAUUAUUUGCGCUUGAUUGUGGCAUGGUGCCUUAUUAAUAUGAGAAUGAAAUAAAUGAGAUACUUCAUUUUAUUCAAACUGCCA